AAUGGUUGCCAUUAGCUUUUA
This 21-nucleotide non-coding RNA is filed under the name Arabidopsis thaliana (thale cress). Lineage: Eukaryota; Viridiplantae; Streptophyta; Magnoliopsida; Brassicales; Brassicaceae. The record is from RNAcentral.